GGAAAAGAAACUAACCAGGAUUCCCCCAGUAGCGGCGAGCGAAGCGGGAAAAGCCCAAGGCCGGAAUCCCGCUCCCCACAAGGGGGCGGGAGUUGUAGCCUAUGGACGCGCCGAUCGACCUCGAUACAAGCAGACCAAGUCCCUUGGAACAGGGCGCCAGAGAGGGUGAUAGCCCCGUCCGUCUGCUCGUGUAGAGGCCAUUCUGACGGCGCGGUCCGAGAGUCGGGUUGUUUGGGAAUGCAGCCCGAAGCGGGAGGUAAGCGCCUUCCAAGGCUAAAUAUUCUGGCGAGAGACCGAUAGCGAACAAGUACUGUGAAGGAAAGUUGAAAAGCACUCUGGAGAGAGAGUGAAAAGAACGUGAAACCAUGUGUAGGGAAGCGCUUGCACGGGGCACUGCUCCGUAGUCUCCGCAAGGGGGCUGCGGACGCCCAGCACCAGUUUGGGCUGCCGGACAAGCGGCGGGCAAAGGUAGGGCAUCUCCCUCGGGGGGCGUCUGUUACAGGGCCCGCUGCGCUGCGGUGGCCUGGACUGAGGAACGCGGCCACUCCCGUAGUUGGGGGCGUGGGUGUUGGCUGGGGGUUGCCGGCGGGCGCCGGGCGAGACAGCAUGCUGACUCGUCUGGCGGUCGUUGGCCUCGCCUCAGCCAGCUCCACUAUGGCCAUGGGUUUGCUGGGAAGCGCCGAACAAGCGACCCGUCUUGAACCACGG
Molecule: ribosomal RNA, 708 nt
Filed under: Coemansia spiralis
Lineage: Eukaryota; Fungi; Kickxellomycota; Kickxellomycetes; Kickxellales; Kickxellaceae
Description: eukaryotic LSU rRNA
Rfam family: Eukaryotic large subunit ribosomal RNA
Source: RNAcentral